UAGUAGUUAUAUAAAGAUUUAAAAGAAAUCUUUCAUAAAGAUGCAAAAGAAAAUAAUUGCUGUGUAUUUUGACUGCCUUUGUGGUGGCCCAAAUAGAGCUGGGAAAUAAAUCU
This is a small nucleolar RNA of Sciurus carolinensis (gray squirrel), 113 nucleotides long. RefSeq annotates it as small nucleolar RNA SNORA31. The record is from RefSeq and is a predicted model, not a curated record. Lineage: Eukaryota; Metazoa; Chordata; Mammalia; Rodentia; Sciuridae. The transcript has a single exon.